RNAcentral lists this ribosomal RNA (497 nucleotides) under uncultured bacterium. RNAcentral describes it as "partial 16S ribosomal RNA". It matches the Rfam family "Bacterial small subunit ribosomal RNA", at positions 28 to 507 of the family's 1533-position model. The record is from RNAcentral.
GAUGAACGCUGGCGGCGUGCCUAAUACAUGCCAGUCGAGCGAACAGACGAGGAGCUUGCUCCUCUGACGUUAGCGGCGGACGGGUGAGUAACACGUGGAUAACCUACCUAUAAGACUUGGAUAACUUCGGGAAACCGGAGCUAAUACCGGAUAAUAUAUUGAACCGCAUGGUUCAAUAGUGAAAGACGGUUUUGCUGUCACUUAUAGAUGUAUCCGCGCCGCAUUAGCUAGUUGGUAAGGUAACGGCUUACCAAGGCGACGAUGCGUAGCCGACCUGAGAGGGUGAUCGGCCAAACUGGAACUGAGACACGGUCAAGACUACUACGGGAGGCAGCAGUAGGGAAUAGUCCGCAAUGGGCGAAAGCAUGACGGAGCAACGCCGCGUGAGUGAAGAAGGUCUUCGGAUCGUAAAACUCUGUUAUUAGGGAAGAAAAAAUGUGUAAGUAACUAUGCACGUCUUGACGGUACCUAAUCAGAAAGCCACGGCUAACUACGUG